RNAcentral lists this ribosomal RNA (253 nucleotides) under uncultured bacterium. RNAcentral describes it as "partial 16S ribosomal RNA". It matches the Rfam family "Bacterial small subunit ribosomal RNA", at positions 524 to 776 of the family's 1533-position model. The record is from RNAcentral.
UACGUAGGGGGCUAGCGUUGUCCGGAAUCAUUGGGCGUAAAGCGCGUGUAGGCGGUUCGGUAAGUCCGCUGUGAAAGUCGGGGGCUCAACCCUCGAAAGCCGGUGGAUACUGUCGGGCUAGAGUGCGGAAGAGGCGAGUGGAAUUCCUGGUGUAGCGGUGAAAUGCGCAGAUAUCAGGAGGAACACCGGUGGUGUAGACGGCUUUCUGGACCGUAACUGACGCUGAGACACGAAAGCGUGGGUAGCAAACAGG